GGACGAACGCUGGCGGCGGGCUUAACACAUGCAAGUCGAACGGAAAGGCCCUGCUUUUGUGGGGUGCCCGAGUGGCGAACGGGUGAGUAACACGUGAGUAACCUGCCCUUGACUUUGGGAUAACUUCAGGAAACUGGGGCUAAUACCGGAUAGGAGCUCCUGCUGCAUGGUGGGGGUUGGAAAGUUUCGGCGGUUGGGGAUGGACUCGCGGCUUAUCAGCUUGUUGGUGGGGUAGUGGCUUACCAAGGCUUUGACGGGUAGCCGGCCUGAGGGGGUGACCGGCCACAUUGGGACUGAGAUACGGCCCAGACUCCUACGGGAGGCAGCAGUGGGGAAUAUUGCACAAUGGGCGGAAGCCUGAUGCAGCAACGCCGCGUGCGGGAUGACGGCCUUCGGGUUGUAAACCGCUUUCGCCUGUGACGAAGCGUGAGUGACGGUAAUGGGUAAAGAAGCACCGGCUAACUACGUG
This 469-nucleotide ribosomal RNA is filed under the name uncultured bacterium. RNAcentral's name for it is "partial 16S ribosomal RNA". It matches the Rfam family "Bacterial small subunit ribosomal RNA", at positions 27 to 507 of the family's 1533-position model. The record is from RNAcentral.